Juglans microcarpa x Juglans regia is the source of this 260-nucleotide long non-coding RNA. RefSeq lists it as uncharacterized. The record is from RefSeq and is a predicted model, not a curated record. Lineage: Eukaryota; Viridiplantae; Streptophyta; Magnoliopsida; Fagales; Juglandaceae. The transcript has 3 exons.
GCUUGGAUAAAACGAGAAUACACCCACUUCUAUUCUUUCUGAGUGAAUACAUCCACUUUGAUUAUUUCUGAUGAAGGUUUGUAUUGGGAUUUUACAAAGUGGCAUGUAGUGAUCGGUUAGUCUGGACAUUCAUACUAUAAGGUCUAGGAGAACUUGGAAGCAAAAUGUCCUGGAGAAGCGGCUCUUCAGUUACAUUUUAGACCACCAUAUUUGAGUUAAAGUCACCACUGUGCCCUGAGUCGCAUAGACAAGGCAGGUGG